This 87-nucleotide transfer RNA is filed under the name Caudoviricetes sp. RNAcentral's name for it is "tRNA-His". It matches the Rfam family "tRNA". Rfam says of the family: Transfer RNA (tRNA) molecules are approximately 80 nucleotides in length. Their secondary structure includes four short double-helical elements and three loops (D, anti-codon, and T loops). Lineage: Duplodnaviria; Heunggongvirae; Uroviricota; Caudoviricetes. The record is from RNAcentral.
GGGCCGGUAAGCAUAACAGGUACUGCGGCUGACGUGAUCAGUUUGCGGGCGGACACCCGCAUGUGGGUUCAAAUCCCACCCGGCCCA